Molecule: ribosomal RNA, 483 nt
Filed under: uncultured bacterium
Lineage: Bacteria
Description: partial 16S ribosomal RNA
Rfam family: Bacterial small subunit ribosomal RNA
Source: RNAcentral
AUUGAACGCUGGCGGCAGGCCUAACACAUGCAAGUCGAGCGGAUGAAGGGAGCUUGCUCCUGGAUUCAGCGGCGGACGGGUGAGUAAUGCCUAGGAAUCUGCCUGGUAGUGGGGGAUAACGUCCGGAAACGGGCGCUAAUACCGCAUACGUCCUGAGGGAGAAAGUGGGGGAUCUUCGGACCCAAGCUAUUAGAUGAGCCUAGGUCGGAUUAGCUAGUUGGUGGGGUAAAGGCCUACCAAGGCGACGAUCCGUAACUGGUCUGAGAGGAUGAUCAGUCACACUGGAACUGAGACACGGUCCAGACUCCUACGGGAGGCAGCAGUGGGGAAUAUUGGACAAUGGGCGAAAGCCUGAUCCAGCCAUGCCGCGUGUGUGAAGAAGGUCUUCGGAUUGUAAAGCACUUUAAGUUGGGAGGAAGGGCAGUAAGUUAAUACCUUGCUGUUUUGACGUUACCAACAGAAUAAGCACCGGCUAACUUCGUG